GAUAAUACACGAAAAACCUUACCGAGGCUUGUAAUCUUUUGCAAAGCUAUAGAAAUAUAGUGGAGGCUAUCAGAAUGACAGGUGGUGCAUGGCUGUCGUCAGCUCGUGUCUUGAGAUGUUUGGUUAAGUCCCGUAACGAGCGCAACCCUACUCCUUAGUUAACCAGUUCUAAAGUGACUGAAUCGUAAGAUAUAGGAAGGUUGGGGCCAAGUCAAGUCAUCAUGCCCCUUAUGCCUCGGGCUGCAAACGUGCUACAAUGGUAGGUACAAUGUGUUGCAGUCUAGCAAUAGUGAGCAAAUCACCCAAAACCUAUCUCAGUCCGGAUAAAAGGCUGCAAUUCGCCUAUUUGAAGUUGGAAU
RNAcentral lists this ribosomal RNA (359 nucleotides) under Candidatus Mycoplasma haematoparvum. RNAcentral describes it as "bacterial SSU rRNA". It matches the Rfam family "Bacterial small subunit ribosomal RNA", at positions 953 to 1332 of the family's 1533-position model. The record is from RNAcentral. Lineage: Bacteria; Bacillati; Mycoplasmatota; Mollicutes; Mycoplasmatales; Mycoplasmataceae.